Molecule: long non-coding RNA, 635 nt
Organism: Homo sapiens (human)
Lineage: Eukaryota; Metazoa; Chordata; Mammalia; Primates; Hominidae
Gene: CYP1B1-AS1
Product: CYP1B1 antisense RNA 1
Source: Ensembl
CAGUUAAAUAUGGAUUUCAGAUCAACAAGGGCUAAUCUUUUAGUAGGAGAAAAGACCUGGCCCACGCCUCCCAGAGGCUUUACCUGGUGAAGAGGAGGAGCAGCCACUGCAGCGCGGUAACAGAUGAGGAUGAAAUUUGGGCUUGACUGAAGUAAUGGGGGCUGUCUGUGAAGCCUUGCGGCAGUACAGCCCAGUCUAUCUUUGUUGAGUUUUGGUAUUGAUUUUAUGUGUCAGUACCUGAGAAGGAGAGAAGUCCUUGAGUUGUUUCGUAAAUGUGGCUCAAGUGAGAUGCUGAACAGUGCCAGCCAUGUGGACUCUGCCACAGUGAAGGAGGAAGGCAGCACUGAGAAGUGAAGGAAUAUUUGGGAGGAUCAGAAGCUUGGUCCUGAUUUUGCCAUCAACAGGAACUUGAUGACUUCAAGGGAGUCCCCAAACCCUGGGUUUCUGUUUUCUCAACUCUAACAUGAGGGGCUAGAUGCAUCUGGUUUAGUUAGUCUCCAUGAUGGUUUAGUUCGUCUCCAUGAUCCUGUGAAUUUCAGAUGUUGAAAAUCUUCGGAAAAGCCCUGAAAGAUGAACAGUGGUCUCAAAUAGUCAAGACCCCCUGCUGGGAGGAGCUUCUAUCCUGCUCUGUGGAA